UACGUAGGGUGCGAGCGUUGUCCGGAAUUAUUGGGCGUAAAGAGCUCGUAGGCGGCCUGUCGCGUCGGUUGUGAAAGCCCGGGGCUUAACCCCGGGUCUGCAGUCGAUACGGGCAGGCUAGAGUUCGGUAGGGGAGAUCGGAAUUCCUGGUGUAGCGGUGAAAUGCGCAGAUAUCAGGAGGAACACCGGUGGCGAAGGCGGAUCUCUGGGCCUUACCUGACGCUCAGGCACGAAAGCUAGGGGAGCGAACAGG
This 253-nucleotide ribosomal RNA is filed under the name uncultured bacterium. RNAcentral describes it as "partial 16S ribosomal RNA". It matches the Rfam family "Bacterial small subunit ribosomal RNA", at positions 524 to 776 of the family's 1533-position model. The record is from RNAcentral.